CCUANGGGUGGCAGCAGUCGAGAGGCUUUGGCAAUGGGGGAAACCCUGACCAAGCGACGCCGCGUGGAGGAUGAAGGCCCUUGGGUUGUAAACUCCUUUUGUUGGGGAAGAAAUGCGACCAGGUGAACAAUCUGGUCGUUUGACGGUACCCAGCGAAUAAGCUCCGGCUAACUCCGUGCCAGCAGCCGCGGUAACACGGGGGGAGCAAGCGUUGUUCGGAAUCACUGGGCGUAAAGGGCGUGUAGGCGGUCAGAUAAGUGGAAUGUGAAAUGCCCCGGCUCACCCGGGGACCGGCAUCCCAAACUGUCUGGCUUGAGUAUGGGAGAGGAUGGAGGAAUUCCUGGUGUAGCGGUGAAAUGCGUAGAUAUUAGGAGGAACACCGGUGGCGAAGGCGGCUGCCUGGACCGAUAUUGACGCUGAGACGCGAAAGCGUGGGUAGCAAACAGGAUUAGAUACCCCGNUANUC
This 466-nucleotide ribosomal RNA is filed under the name uncultured bacterium. RNAcentral describes it as "bacterial SSU rRNA". It matches the Rfam family "Bacterial small subunit ribosomal RNA", at positions 338 to 795 of the family's 1533-position model. The record is from RNAcentral.